This 253-nucleotide ribosomal RNA is filed under the name uncultured bacterium. Its description in RNAcentral is "partial 16S ribosomal RNA". It matches the Rfam family "Bacterial small subunit ribosomal RNA", at positions 524 to 776 of the family's 1533-position model. The record is from RNAcentral.
UACGGGGGGGGCAAGCGUUGUUCGGAAUUACUGGGCGUAAAGGGCGCGUAGGCGGUUCGCUAAGUUGAAUGUGAAAACUCUGGGCUUAAUCCAGAGCCUGCAUUCAAUACUGGCGGGCUAGAGUUCUGGAGGGGAUAGCGGAAUUCCUGGUGUAGCGGUGAAAUGCGCAGAUAUCAGGAGGAACACCGGUGGCGAAGGCGGGUCUCUGGGCCGAUACUGACGCUGAGGAGCGAAAGCGUGGGGAGCGAACAGG